CAGCGCUUUGGAUUAAUCUUCAUCCAUACGUCAUCCCACCUGAGGAAGAUUUAAUUGUUUUACAUUCCUUUAACUUCGACCCCCUGAGACAUUUCAUGAGCACUAUAAUUUACACUUUGUUGUAUUUUUGUGAACUGAGGAGUGAAAACCUUUUUAAUGUUUUAAAUGUGUGAUCCUGUACGUUUAGGGGUGUACUGUGUGUGCUGUGAUAUAAAGGUUUGGGAUGAAUGGUAAUAUACAGACUUGACCACUGGGUGUCUCUGCCGGCCAGCGGAGACACCCAGUGUCUCUCCGCCCUGAGACAACAAGCACACUUCAGGCUCAACAGAUGUCGCGUCAAGCACAGUCAGACACAGCGUUUGGUGGCCGAACAGCAUCCCUGUUGUCGGUUUGCCUGGUGAUUUUGUCAGUUAGUUUUCCUCGGUGGUGAGUUUGGACCGAUGUCUUGUCUCAUUGACUUGAGCACUUUAGUAACUUAUAGACCCUGGAGUAAUUUGUUAUGUACAGUUUUGAUGAAGGCUUUGUUGUUACCCUUAAGAAUGCUGAACAGAAAUGUAUUGGCAAAGAGAGGAAGAGGGCUGCACAUCCAAAAAUGGCACAAAUAUACUUAUGUAUCACAAGCUACUUUGCUAAAAUCUCGUUUGUUUGGCAGAUCAGGUCAUUUUAGCAUUGAAGAAGUUGUAAUGUUUACUCUUAUGAUGUGAAUUAAUUUGGUUUUCUCCUUCCUAUCUUACAUAAUGAAGAAUAACCCCCAUUUGUUGUUUUGAAAUGUGGUCAUGUGACCUGUUUCAUGGCUCGUACAUCAGCCUGUAGUAGGUGUGACAUAUUGUGUGAUAUGUACUUUUGUGUGUACUGAAGUAAUUGAUCGUAUAAUUCCGUUACACCUCCACAUUAUCUACUGCCCCUCCUGUCUCUGAUGAUAUCGUAUGUUCUUCAAUACUGCUUCAGGUUCUGUUGCCACACAUUUUGUAAAUAAUAAGCAAAGAAGAAAAGAGUUAGUAAUGCCAAUGACUAUGUGAACAACUGUUAAAACAAAACAAUAGAACACAGAGGGGAUCUGUAACGUGGAAAUGUGUUGCUCUGCAUCCUGAAUGUGUCAGGAUAAAUGAACACGUAAACGUGCCCCAGCUGGGUAUUAACCUAUUUAGUCAGAAAAAAUACUUUGUUAACAUGUACAAGAAACCAGACGUUUUUGGUCAAUGGGCUUUUGACAUAAACGCCGAGUACAGGUGGAGGUUUUCAUCUGUACUCACCUGCUCUGGCUUGAAGAUGAAGCAAAUCGGUAGAAGCACAGGACAGUGAGCACAAUGGAGCAAGCUCCAGUCAAUGAGUUCAGAUUAGGCCUGCGGGGAUGAACUUGAUGAUGGGUCAUAUUCCUUCAUCCUCCUGGGAGUCACCAGAGUAUCUGCACACUUAGAAGAACUCCAAACUUCACAAGAAACUAAACUCAGCACAAUAAUGAAAUGAGAGCGUUAGGAGGGAGCACAAUCAACAUUGUAUAUCGUCUCUAAGAAGCAGGAUUCCUUUGUUUUUUAUUCCCCUGGCCUAAACACUGUUGAAGUACUCUUCACAGUGGAUAUCUGAUUUUAUUAUUACUGUAAAAACAAAGACUCCAGGGUCUCGUUGUCUUG
This is a long non-coding RNA of Gasterosteus aculeatus aculeatus (three-spined stickleback), 1631 nucleotides long. The record is from Ensembl. Lineage: Eukaryota; Metazoa; Chordata; Actinopteri; Perciformes; Gasterosteidae.